CUGGAAUUAGAGGUGUGAGCCACCACGCCCAGCCAACUAUCUCAAUCCUUAAAAUAUAUUGUUACAUUAGCCAUUCUCUACAGACUCAGUAAGCUCUCAUUAUUUCUUUAUUUCUAACUAGCUUGCACUCACUUGGUGAUGACUGGACAAUUCUUUGGCUCCCACACACUACAAAAAAUACAAAUAAAAACAAAACCCAGGUUCAAAUUACAGUUCAUCCGCUCAGUAGCUAUGACUUCAAUCAAGCCAUUUAAAGUCUUGGUUUUCUCUUUUUAAGAUGGGGGAUAUCAACGGUAUUUAGAAUGGAUAUAGGGUAGAAUAAGGAUAAAGUUCAAAUAUUUUAAUGUGGCCUCCAAGGCUUUCUCUGAUCUGGCUUCUGUGUACCUCUCUAUCCUUAUUUCCCAUCAGAACUGGGUCAUAUGGUCACCUCUCCCUGCAAGGGAGGCUGGGAAGAUGUCAUGAUAGUUUCAGACCAAUUGUGAUUCUGCCUUGGGAUGUUGCCACUGAACAAUAUCAAGGAUCUUUUAGUGAGGAAAUAGGAAAGCCACUGAAGAUGCCUACCACAGCCUUUUUCUGCAUACCUUCCCUGGCCAUGAUUGUAUCAAGUUUGGGUUGCUGUAAUUUGUGUUAUUAACACGUUAGGAGGGUUUUGUUUUGUCGUAUUAGGAUAAAAAUAGAGUGUCGAUAUGAUUAUUAAACUUCACUUCUAAGAAUUUCUGAGAUGCCCUCUUCUCCCCCUCCCUGCUACAGAGGCAUGGCCCUGCUGAUUGAGAAUCAUCCGUUUUCUCCCCAUUUCAGCAUAUGAAGGCUUGCAAUAAAGCAGUCACCAAAACAAAAGGAAAAAAAAAAUUGUUUAGGGCAUAAUAAGUGUGGACCUGUCUGGAGGCCAAAGCAAUUCCAUCUUCAAUGCCUAAUCCACCACGUUGGCUUCUGAUUAACCCCAGGUCUGAGAAGGCCUCUAAGAUUUUCAGUUUAUCUACUGUCCCUACGUAAGACCAGAACGUGAUACACUUCUGGGAAAUCUGCUGGGGGCCUUCCAAGAAAAGUAUCCCUACAGAAGAAGAGACAUAUGGAGGAGGAAACACACCUUCUUCUUUGCUGGAUUUGCUGUAUCUGGGUGUGAUGCCUGGAACUGUGGCAACCAUGUUUUGAUCAUGGGAGACUAAACUAACAUGCUAAAAAUACCAGAGCAAAAGCCUGAGAAAAACUGGGUCCUUGAUGGUACUGAUGACCCAGCCUAGGGUUAUUACAGCUUGAAACUUCAUUUUAUUUUACAUAGUAAAUGUCUAUAUUGUUUAAGCUGGUUUUAGUUGGGUAUUCUGUUCAUAUUGCUUAGAGCAUCCUGACAUAGGUUCUCAGAGAAAACAAUACAUAUGAGGGUUCUUUUUUGUUUGUUUGUUUUUGACAAAGUCUCACUCUAUUGGCCAAGUUGUAGUGCAGUGGUGCAA
Molecule: long non-coding RNA, 1448 nt
Organism: Cercocebus atys (sooty mangabey)
Lineage: Eukaryota; Metazoa; Chordata; Mammalia; Primates; Cercopithecidae
Exons: 3
Source: RefSeq, a predicted model, not a curated record